GUGAUGACUUUGAAGAAACUAAUGAAAUUAAUUGAAUCUUUAGUACUCUAUUUCCUACUUAGCAUUGGUAAAGACACUAUGGAUUUUGCAAAGCAUAGAAUAAUUUCCCAGAAACACAGAGUCAUGAUGGCAGAAGGGACUUUCUGAGGUCAACUAUUCCACAAGGAAACAGCUCCUCAAAGGCACUGAGGUCAAUAAGCCAGCAUCCCUCUUUUGAUUAAAGCCUAGACAAACCUACUAAAGGUAGAAGCAAGUAUUAUUCUGAAAGGGCUGUGGGCCAUCUGAUGACAGAAAAGGUUAAGCCACAGUGUCCACGUUGGUUCCUGCCAUCCCACAGUUGUGUCACCGCUAUGAAAUGCCAUCAUUUUAGACUUGGUGAGAUCUUGAAAAGCAGCUGCAGUCUUCCAUCCCUUCCAAGCACCCUCACAGAAGAGAAGAGAGAGUGCCCAAGCAUCGUCAUGAAUGGGCUGCAUUAAGGUAGAGACUAUGGAAGUAGUUACAGUAAUAAGAGCAGCAGCAGAAAGGUCACAAGGGAAAGAGGAGCCAGCACAGAGAGAACCCAGCAGAAGGUUGCAUUUGGAUGUUUGACUGGCCAAUGACAUGUAAAAUGCCUAAUUAGCAGUUUUUCAAGCACUAUUUAUAUUCCAAGGCUUAAGUUUUGACCUCCCAACUGAUUAUACUAGUAGGAAUGUUAUAUGAAUUGGAUUCUAAUCACCUGUCAUAUGUGCUGAGACCUCAUUUCUGUGUGGAAAUAAAAGGACUUCUUCUAUACCUA
RNAcentral lists this long non-coding RNA (775 nucleotides) under Phascolarctos cinereus (koala). Its description in RNAcentral is "lncRNA (ENSPCIG00000026037.2)". The record is from RNAcentral. Lineage: Eukaryota; Metazoa; Chordata; Mammalia; Diprotodontia; Phascolarctidae.